CAAGCCAAAAUGAGUUUAAAUCUUUGCCAGGAAAAUUUUUGCUUUGAAAAGAUUGCAAAGGAGGGUUUGACAAAGAUAAAGUAUCAUAAUAACAACAGCAACAACAACCAACUUAAUCCCAAGUUAGCUGCCAUUGACUAUGUGGAUCCUUUUUCGCUAUUCGACUCUAUUAGACACUAGGUCCGCAAAGAUAAAGUAUCAUAACUAUGAUAAAAAUUAAAAAUAUCACAAACGAAUAAACAACUAUGAUAAACUAUUAUUUAAUCCACAUCUGCAAAUAAAAUUAAAGGAAAUCAGACAUGAAAUGGUGAAGCUAUUAUCAACUGUAACAAUUGUUCAAACAAGGAACCAGAAUGAGUUUAAAUCGUUGCCAGAAAAAAUUUU
This 384-nucleotide unclassified non-coding RNA is filed under the name Hevea brasiliensis (rubber tree). Lineage: Eukaryota; Viridiplantae; Streptophyta; Magnoliopsida; Malpighiales; Euphorbiaceae. The record is from RNAcentral.